UAGGAGUGCAGGUAUUUAUGGCCACGUUGCUACGCACGCCACGACUGAAAUGGACAUGCCCAUGGAUUGUCUCUGGUGAGCUCCUUCGACACUACCUGUCCCUCCCUCCGAGAGGAUCUAACCCAGUCUCAGAACCUCAGUCCAUGUUAUCGUCCUGCUGCAAGUCUGCCUGUGACAUUUCAGAAGACCAUUCAUCCUCGAGGCCUGAAUGAAGUCUUAGUCUUGGUCUGGAGCUACACUGAACGAUGUCACUACCUCCUAGGAGCUGCCAGAAAUUUACCUCUGCUGUGUUGGGCCAACUCGGCUUAUUUCAAGGAUGCCAACUAUUAUAACCAUGCAAAGCCUUCCUUCUCUUCUCAGAUAAAUAAUCUGUGAUGGAGUUGAGACCCCUUCUAGCCGGAUAGCAGUCCUUCACCGUCAUGAAACUUACUUCCGCUACUAGUGACCCAGGCGGACCCUCAGAUGCUACCCUGGCAAGAAAUGUGAACUCGGUUGGGAGACCAUUUGUUACAGAGCUGGGCAGCAGCGAGCAUGGCUGAGGUGCUGUGGACUGAUCAGCAGAACAGAGCCAGAGGUGGGGCACCUGCUCCGAGCCCCCUGUCAGACCGUCCCGUGUGUUACCCCCAGCACCUGCUGCCCUCACUGCGCGCCACCUUCCCAGCUGGUGGCCAGGUCUCCAUGUGCUCAAAGGCCAGAACUUGAUGCUGCUUUAUCCAAGACUCUUUCUGGGCUUCCCGUCACUCAGUCGGAAUUCUUUUGUUUAUGUUUGUAAACUAAGUGAACGUGACAUGGAAGUCACCGGGGAGAAUAAAUCUGGAACAUUGA
Manis javanica (Malayan pangolin) is the source of this 825-nucleotide long non-coding RNA. RefSeq lists it as uncharacterized. Lineage: Eukaryota; Metazoa; Chordata; Mammalia; Pholidota; Manidae. The record is from RefSeq and is a predicted model, not a curated record.